UACGUAGGGGGCUAGCGUUGUCCGGAAUCAUUGGGCGUAAAGGGCGCGUAGGUGGCCCGGUCAGCGUGCGGUGAAAGCUCGGGGCUCAACCCCGAGUCGGCCGUGCGAACUGCUGGGCUCGAGCACUGUAGAGGCAGGCGGAAUUCCGGGUGUAGCGGUGGAAUGCGUAGAGAUCCGGAAGAACACCGGUGGCGAAGGCGGCCUGCUGGGCAGUGGCUGACACUGAGGCGCGACAGCGUGGGGAGCAAACAGG
RNAcentral lists this ribosomal RNA (253 nucleotides) under uncultured bacterium. Its description in RNAcentral is "partial 16S ribosomal RNA". It matches the Rfam family "Bacterial small subunit ribosomal RNA", at positions 524 to 776 of the family's 1533-position model. The record is from RNAcentral.